GACAGAGGUGCCGAGCGUUAGGCGGAAUCACUGGGCUUAAAGCGUGUGUAGGCGGAUCGUUAAGUACCUUGUGAAAUCCCACGGCUCAACCGUGGAACUGCUGGGUAUACUGGCGGUCUUGAGCCACCUAGGGGCGAGCGGAACAAGCGGUGGAGCGGUGAAAUGCGUAGAUAUCGCGUGGAACGCCAACGGUGAAAACAGCUCGCUGGGGGUGUGCUGACGCUGAGACACGAAAGCCAGGGGAGCAAACGGG
RNAcentral lists this ribosomal RNA (253 nucleotides) under uncultured bacterium. Its description in RNAcentral is "partial 16S ribosomal RNA". It matches the Rfam family "Bacterial small subunit ribosomal RNA", at positions 524 to 776 of the family's 1533-position model. The record is from RNAcentral.